AAUUUCUUCUAGUUUCCUUCUUUGUUCUUCCUUUUUCUUCCUUCUCUUCUCUUUUCUUUUUUCUCUUUUCGCAGCCAAAGCCAGCCUCCGACUUUCUUCCCUUAACUGUUAAAGAUCAAUAAAGCAGAAAUAUAACGUUGAAAUUUACCCUGGAGAAGAAGUUGUCACAUAAUCAUUUAAUCAUAAGGAAACCAUGAUAUCAUAAAAUUCAAAGUCAUCUAGUUCAAUUCAUUGUUUUAUCAAGAUCAUAUUCAAACCACUCUAAAGAGACAAUAUUUUUACAAUAUCAAGAUCAAAUUAACAAUAUAAGACUAAUUUUAAAAUGGGUAAAUAAUAAACAGAUACAUAGCUUUUAAUCAUUAAGGACAUGUAAGUUGAACCGACAAAAUACCAUUUUUUGAUCAUUAAUUUGGCGAAAUUUAAAAAGGUAUCAGAUAUCAGCACAAGUUUGAGAAACUGAAUUCUCUCCUGUACUGCUGCGGGCAUGAAUAUUUACAUUUUAGAAAAAGUAAUUUGAAAGCUUCCUAACAAAAAUUACAAACUGCUUAUCCCAACAACUUAUUAUAUAAAAUGUCUAUCUCUAGUGAAAAAACAAGGGUUCAGCAAUUUUCUUUGCAAAUUGAUUAUAAUGGCAAUACAUGGAAACAAGGUAAGUCUGUCAAUGGGAAGGAAUAAAUUAACAGUAUAUAUUCACAGAAUACUAGAUAGGCACCGUAAGUAUUAUAAAUAUGUACUUGGGAAAAUGCUCCCAGUUUACAUUUGUUAGGAGAAAAAAAGGCACACUGAAGACUAAUAAUCACUUUUAUGAGAGAAGAGAACCCUCUUUGUGCAUCGAUUUGUAUAAAUACAGAAAAAAAAACCAUAAAAGUUAUAAAUAAAAGGGUAACAGAGACUACCUCUGGAGGGUGGAACAGGAGGAGGGAUAGCAGAAUGAUGGUGACUUUCAAUUUUACUUUAUAUAACUAUACAGUGUUUCUAUUUGUUAAAAUGAGUACAUUAUUACUUUCAUAGUCAAAAAACUAACUGUAGGUUUAAAAGUCCAAAAAUAUAUCUUAAUAAACUAUUUUAACUGUUAAAUUUUCUUUCUUGGCUCAUAAAGGUAUGAAAAUCAUCUUCAAACUCUGUCUGCAUGUCAUCUAAAAGAUGUUUUUUAAAAACUAUUCUCCACCCAUAAUCUAGCAUUCUGAAUUAUUUUAUGUGUAUUUUAAAUAUGUGUCAAAACAAUGUCAGUUAAGGCAUGGAGCCUACAACAUGUAAAACCAGUCCUCAUAAAUUCAUAAGCCAAACAAUAUUUAGUUUUCAUUCAAAAAAGUCUGACUUCAUCUUUUAAGUGCUGUGCUUUUGCUAGAUACUCUCUGUCCUGCCUUUCAAAUUAACCCUCUCCGGUUUUUUUUUUUUUUAAGCCAAAUUUAGCAGCUGGGGGUUGUAUACCAACUUUAGUGACACUAACGUUAAUAAGUUCUGAUAACCCAUGACACUCAAACCAGCUCUCUGCUAGGUUCUUGAAAAGUUUGGCCCACCACCAGGUUUUUACACCCUGCGGUAAUGCAACAUACUUACCUUAGGCUAGGUGAGAGAUAAGUCUUGUUCCUGAAAAGGGCAACAGUGAAGGAAAACCUGUAGGUAGAAUACCCAUACUUUCUCCAGCAAAUCGAUUUUAGGAAAGAAUGCAUCUAAAAGCUAAAGAUACAGAAACUGCCUGCAUCGUAACCCUGGAAAUUUCUGCUGGACUCCCAGAAAGCUCCAGUCUGAAGAUCAGUAGAGGAGCUUUUACCCCUGCUGAAGUAUUAGGAACAAAACAGUAACUGGUGACCUUUACUCCCUGGAUCACCACAAGGGAGGAGUAAUAUCUGAUUGGUGAGUUUGAAAGAAGAAACUGAGCAUGUGUGACUCAGCUCAUUUGAGCCUUGCUUAUGUGUUUUCUCCACGUGGACCCCAGUGAAGGAGGGAGAAGUGUGCUUGUUCUGUCUAGCUUUGAUUUUGUGGAACAGAGACUGGGUCUCACUACAUUGGCCAGGCCGGAUUUGAAUUCCUGGGCUCAGCCUCCCGAGUAGCUGGGACUACAAGCAUGUACCACCAUGCCCAGUUUUCUGCAGCAGUUUUUAUAAACCAAAUUUUCCAAAUUAGAAAGACUGACCAAAGAAGCACUUUUAUACGAGGAAUAACUUACGUAUGGAGAAUCUCAACUUGGACCAGUCAAGACCAACUCCAGCGAUGAAGCCAGAAUGUAAUAUAUCUCAAAAGGCUAAAGAAGUCCAUUUUCCCAGAUGUAAAUUAUAAUUAAAAAAUAGUGAGCCAAACUCUAAUAUCCCAAUGUGAUAAUCUUUCAAAUAAAAAUAUGGGCUGUAGUUCAGGAAAAAAGUGGCUUCUCUAUAAUUAAAAAUUUUACAUAUGUUCCACGUUCACUCAAAACUAUACAUAAAAGUAUAUAAUGCAUGUGCAGGAAUCAAUUUAGAUAGAAUUGAUUAAUGAUUAAGAAUUCUUCAUUAGCUUUUGGUUUUAAUAUUAUGGAAAAAUAUACAACGAUAUUUAAAAGAAGCUUCUCUUGACUUCUCUUAAAACUAAGGCUCUUGAAAGUAUAAACAUUAAGGUUAAAUAACGCUGGCAAGAAUACAAGGAAAUGACAUUGGUGUAUUGCUAAUGGUACUAGGAAAGUAUUCUGCAAGUAUCUACUAAAUUAAAAAUACAGUAGUGCCCCCUUAUCCAUGAUGAGUAAGUACAUUCCAAGAUCCCUGGUAGAUGCCUGAAACCUUGGAUAGUACUGGACCCUGUAUAUAUAUGUUUUUUCAAAGAAACCCAUGAUAAAAUUUAAUUUAUAAAUUAGGCACAAUGAAAGAUAAGCAACAAUAGCAAUAAAAUAGAACAAUUAUAACAAUAUGCCAGUAACACUACUCUUGCACUUUGGGGCCAUUAUUAAGUAAAAUUAGGGUUUCUUGAACACAAGCACUGUGAUACCUCAACAGUCAAUCUGAUAACUGAGGGCUACUAAGUGGAUACACCAGACAAAAGGAGGAUUCAUGUCCCAGGUGGGACAGAAAAGGACGGCGCAAAAUUUCAUCACACUACUCAGAACGGCAUGCAACAUGAAACUUAUGAAUUGUUUAUUUCUGGAAUUUUCCAUUUAAUAUUUUCAGACCAUAGGGAAAGCAAAACCACAAAUAAAGGGACUACUAUAUGUUGACCCACAUGAAGGAACUUAUUUCAUAAAAAUAAAAGGAGCAAAAUAUUUAAAAAAUAUGUAUAAGGGUGUUUAUUACAAUAUUAUUUGUCGUGACAAAAAACUGGAAACAAACUUAUUAUGGACUAUUCUGCAGUUAUUUAAAAUCACUAUCAAAUGACAAUAUCCAUCAGUUACUAAGAGAGGGGAAAGCAAGUAUUAGAGUAAUAUGUUUGCAUGAUUCUGUUUUUUAAAAAAAGUACACCAUCACAAUCAGUGUGAACAUUUAUUCAUUCAACAAAUAUUUAUUGAGUGCCUACUAUAUGCCAGACACUAUUUUAUGUUCUAGUAAUAGAGACAAACAAGAUAAUUAAGUAUUUUGAAUGAAUACAAUAUUUAGAAUGUUGAAAAGUGAAAAAUAAAGCAGAGAAGAGCAGAAAAGUGCUUGUGAAGAGGAAACUAAAACAUGAGGACAUCUAAGGGACAUUCAUGGAAGAUGCUGCUGACAGCACAAACAAAAAGAGGAUGGUCAGUAUGGAUAGAGCAAGGUGACUAAGAGAAAGAGUAAUAAAAAACAAGGCCAGAGAGGUUUAAGAAGUGGUGUGGGUAGGCAGAUCAUUACAGGAUCUUAAAAGGCCUUAUAGGUAAUUGCAGAGGUAAAGAUUUUAAAACAACCAUUAUCACAUUUCUAACUUCAGUUAUCUUAAAAUGAUGGCAGCUGUUCUUGUCUUUGUUUCACAGUUUAAACUGAGCACACUGUUAUAAUAAAAAAACAAAAAUUUAAAGAAUCAAAUAUAUAUUCUAUCACACAAACUGGCUCAAUUAUACUGCCUUGUAUUUAGCAGGCAUUAAAUAAAUGUUAGGUAGUGAAUAUAAAAACAGGUCAAGUAAUAGUUAUAGUGGUCAUUAUAUCUCUUAAUGCACUCAUAUUCUUUUAACAUUUUUAAAUGGCCAAAACAGCUACUUUUAAUUUGCUCAGAAUAUAAACCACAAAUUUUUAAAAAUGAAGAGCUUCCAAAAUAAAAUACAUUUUUUCAGAAAAUAGUAUUUUCAAAUUUAAAUUAGAAUAAAGUACUUCAAAUGAUUCAUAUUAAUGUAGGACAAAAUGUAGAACUUAAUAAAGAAAGCAAGUAUAGUAAAAAAGAAUGUAGCUAACAAGUCAAAAAACGCAUAUGCAUAAUUAUCACUGCAUCUCCUUUAUAAAUUUAAAUAGUAGAUGUUAAAUUUUAUAGCAUUUUGACCUUUUUAAAAAAAUUUUAUUUAUUUUUUGAGACGGAGUCUCACUCUGUUGCCCAGGCUGGAGUGCAGUGGCGUGAUCUUGGCUCACUGCAACCUCCGCCUCCCAGGUUCAAGUGAUUCUCCUGCCUCAGCCUCCAGAGUAAAUGGGAUUACAGGCAUGCACCACCACGUCCGGCUAAUUUUCGUAUUUUUGGUAGAGACGGUGUUUUGCCAUGUUGGCCAGGCUGGUCUCAAGCUCCUGACCUCAGGUGAUGUGCCCGCCUCGGCCUCCCAAAGUGCUGGGAAUACAGGCGUGAGCUACUGCGCCCAGCCACUGACCUUUUUAUAAAAGAUGAGAUAUGGCAGUUCCAUAAUAUUCAAUGCCAAACCAAUUAUUUUCCUAUGAUUACUAUUCAGUUAAGUUCUAGAGUACAGAAUUAUAGGGGAAAAUGUGGCAGAAAAGGGAAGUGAAGAAGCUAUAAGACUGUCCAAACUAUAUGCUGUUUUGGUGUAUUUUACUCCCCAUGGGAAUAGAUGGGAAUGAUGUUGUAGUCUGCCUGAAAGAGAAAAGUACAAGAGAAGUCACCCAUUUAAAAAGUGUACUCAUUUGACAUUCCAAGAUUUGUAUUUCACUAGUUGGUUAUGCCUUGGUAGUGCAUUUGGUACUUGUGAUAAACCUGUUGGCAAUAAAUUACAAGGUCUAAAACAAUAAAUUAUAAGAUCAAAAAACAACAGAUGUGGUUGAGGAUUAAGAGAUCAUUAGCUGAGAUAAGACUAAAAUCCAGAACUAGAAGCUAAGUUUUCUGACUUCCAGAUCAAUGUAAUUCCUAUAACAAAAUUUUGUUAGUUACAAAGAAGCUUUCAAUGAUGUUCAAUGUACUCAUAAUUCUCUCCACGAUUUGAGCCAAAUGUAGAAAGAAAUCAUGUACGUAAUUUAAAGCAAACAAAACAAAACAAAAAGACGGAUUACAAAUCAAAAGAAGAGAAAACAAGAUGGAAAAAAGUGGGUAGUUUUCAUGUGUAAAGAUUAUUGUUACCUUUUCCAAGUCUAACUCCUCUAACAAAAUGCUGGCGUUUUUGUUUGCUUCAGCAGCCUGUCUAUCUUUGGCUUGUACUAUUGACUCCAUACAAAGAUGACACUUCUUCAGCAUCUCCUAUAAUGAAAAAUUAAGAUUUUUCCAGGCUCACAGAACAAUUCUCACUUAGAGAAAUUCCUAAAAACACGAAGAUCUUUAGUAAGGUACUCAAACCUAAGCAAUAAAGAUCCAUGAAAGGGGGAAAAAAGGUGUGCAAAUAAAAACGUAAUUGACAUGGUAUAUUUAGGAAUAUAUACAAAUGAAGAAUCAAAGAGUAGCUUUUGCUAUUCUUCAAAAUAAUAUCCAUUUAGCAGGCACUUCAGAAACUAAAGUCAUUUAUCCUCUAAUUUAAAU
Molecule: long non-coding RNA, 5805 nt
Filed under: Homo sapiens (human)
Lineage: Eukaryota; Metazoa; Chordata; Mammalia; Primates; Hominidae
Description: HSALNT0320217
Source: RNAcentral